RNAcentral lists this unclassified non-coding RNA (255 nucleotides) under Hevea brasiliensis (rubber tree). Lineage: Eukaryota; Viridiplantae; Streptophyta; Magnoliopsida; Malpighiales; Euphorbiaceae. The record is from RNAcentral.
GAACUUUUUCCAUGCUUUUUCUUAUUUUUCAUAAAAAGUGAAAACUACAGUUUUCAUUGAAAAUGGAAAAUGCACAAGUAAACAAGGCGUAAGAUUCUCAUAAAAACAAAUGUUCGAUAAAAGGCAAAUAAAGCACCCUCAACUCUCCAAAUUUUAGAUUCCUGAAAACUGCGGAUUUGGUCAACCAGAUCAAGAACUAUGUUUUUUUUUUCUGGUCUUCUUUUCAUCCUUGAUUUAGAAUUCUAUUAGGAAAAC